UGGGGUUCAUGUUGUUUAUUCUUUAGUUUUCUAUGUUGUGUCAUGUGUACUAUUGUUUGUCUGUUUGUCUUUUUCAUUUUUAGCCAUGGUGUUGUCAGUUUAUUUUAGAUUUAUGAGUUUGACUGUCCUUUUGGUAUCUUUCGUCCCUCUUUUAGGGUGGUUCUGAAUGUGACUAUUUUACUUACAGCUUGAUAAUCAAUGUCUGCACCAUUCUGUAGACAUAAUUUUAAGGCUUCUAUAUCUCC
This 245-nucleotide long non-coding RNA is filed under the name Mytilus galloprovincialis (Mediterranean mussel). Lineage: Eukaryota; Metazoa; Mollusca; Bivalvia; Mytilida; Mytilidae. The record is from RNAcentral.